CAAUAUGAAGGCGGGCUGGACACCCUCCAGCCGGGCACUGCUUCACGGCGUGCGCGGCUGGAGCCGGCCCUGCUGAAUUAUUCACCCGUGUCUUUUGCGUACUUCUUGUUUCCUGGGUGGGCUCGCCCGCCAUCAGGACCAACCAUAAACCUUUUUGUAAUAGCAAUCAGCGUCAGUAACAACGUAAUUAAUUACAACUUUCAACAACGGAUCUCUUGGUUCUGGCAUCGAUGAAGAACGCAGCGAAAUGCGAUACGUAGUGUGAAUUGCAGAAUUCAGUGAAUCAUCGAAUCUUUGAACGCACAUUGCGCCCUUUGGUAUUCCAAAGGGCAUGCCUGUUCGAGCGUCAUUUGUACCCUCAAGCUUUGCUUGGUGUUGGGCGUCUUUUGUCUCCAGCUCGCUGGAGACUCGCCUUAAAGUCAUUGGCAGCCGGCCUACUGGUUUCGGAGCGCAGCACAAGUCGCGCUCUUGCCCAGCCAAGGUCAGCGUCCAGCAAGCCUUUUUUCAACCUUUGACCUCGGAUCAGGUAGGGAUACCCGCUGAACUUAAGCAUAUCAAUAA
Molecule: unclassified non-coding RNA, 561 nt
Filed under: Alternaria rosae
Lineage: Eukaryota; Fungi; Ascomycota; Dothideomycetes; Pleosporales; Pleosporaceae
Description: sequence contains 18S rRNA gene, ITS1, 5.8S rRNA gene, ITS2
Rfam family: 5.8S ribosomal RNA (bases 196-349)
Source: RNAcentral